Molecule: ribosomal RNA, 1686 nt
Filed under: Salmonella enterica subsp. enterica serovar Rough O:d:1,7
Lineage: Bacteria; Pseudomonadati; Pseudomonadota; Gammaproteobacteria; Enterobacterales; Enterobacteriaceae
Description: bacterial LSU rRNA
Rfam family: Bacterial large subunit ribosomal RNA
Source: RNAcentral
UGCUGGAGGUAUCAGAAGUGCGAAUGCUGACAUAAGUAACGAUAAAGCGGGUGAAAAGCCCGCUCGCCGGAAGACCAAGGGUUCCUGUCCAACGUUAAUCGGGGCAGGGUGAGUCGACCCCUAAGGCGAGGCCGAAAGGCGUAGUCGAUGGGAAACGGGUUAAUAUUCCCGUACUUGGUGUUACUGCGAAGGGGGGACGGAGAAGGCUAUGUUGGCCGGGCGACGGUUGUCCCGGUUUAAGCGUGUAGGCUGGUUUUCCAGGCAAAUCCGGAAAAUCAAGGCUGAGGCGUGACGACGAGGCACUACGGUGCUGAAGCAACAAAUGCCCUGCUUCCAGGAAAAGCCUCUAAGCAUCAGGUAACAUCAAAUCGUACCCCAAACCGACACAGGUGGUCAGGUAGAGAAUACCAAGGCGCUUGAGAGAACUCGGGUGAAGGAACUAGGCAAAAUGGUGCCGUAACUUCGGGAGAAGGCACGCUGACAUGUAGGUGAAGUGAUUUACUCAUGGAGCUGAAGUCAGUCGAAGAUACCAGCUGGCUGCAACUGUUUAUUAAAAACACAGCACUGUGCAAACACGAAAGUGGACGUAUACGGUGUGACGCCUGCCCGGUGCCGGAAGGUUAAUUGAUGGGGUCAGCGCAAGCGAAGCUCCUGAUCGAAGCCCCGGUAAACGGCGGCCGUAACUAUAACGGUCCUAAGGUAGCGAAAUUCCUUGUCGGGUAAGUUCCGACCUGCACGAAUGGCGUAAUGAUGGCCAGGCUGUCUCCACCCGAGACUCAGUGAAAUUGAACUCGCUGUGAAGAUGCAGUGUACCCGCGGCAAGACGGAAAGACCCCGUGAACCUUUACUAUAGCUUGACACUGAACAUUGAGCCUUGAUGUGUAGGAUAGGUGGGAGGCUUUGAAGCGUGGACGCCAGUCUGCGUGGAGCCGACCUUGAAAUACCACCCUUUAAUGUUUGAUGUUCUAACGUGGACCCGUGAUCCGGGUUGCGGACAGUGUCUGGUGGGUAGUUUGACUGGGGCGGUCUCCUCCUAAAGAGUAACGGAGGAGCACGAAGGUUGGCUAAUCCUGGUCGGACAUCAGGAGGUUAGUGCAAUGGCAUAAGCCAGCUUGACUGCGAGCGUGACGGCGCGAGCAGGUGCGAAAGCAGGUCAUAGUGAUCCGGUGGUUCUGAAUGGAAGGGCCAUCGCUCAACGGAUAAAAGGUACUCCGGGGAUAACAGGCUGAUACCGCCCAAGAGUUCAUAUCGACGGCGGUGUUUGGCACCUCGAUGUCGGCUCAUCACAUCCUGGGGCUGAAGUAGGUCCCAAGGGUAUGGCUGUUCGCCAUUUAAAGUGGUACGCGAGCUGGGUUUAGAACGUCGUGAGACAGUUCGGUCCCUAUCUGCCGUGGGCGCUGGAGAACUGAGGGGGGCUGCUCCUAGUACGAGAGGACCGGAGUGGACGCAUCACUGGUGUUCGGGUUGUCAUGCCAAUGGCACUGCCCGGUAGCUAAAUGCGGAAGAGAUAAGUGCUGAAAGCAUCUAAGCACGAAACUUGCCCCGAGAUGAGUUCUCCCUGAGACUUUAGGUCUCCUGAAGGAACGUUGAAGACGACGACGUUGAUAGGCCGGGUGUGUAAGCGCAGCGAUGCGUUGAGCUAACCGGUACUAAUGAACCGUGAGGCUUAACCUUACAACGCCGAAG